UGGGGAAUAUUGCACAAUGGGCGCAAGCCUGAUGCAGCGACGCCGCGUGAGGGAUGACGGCCUUCGGGUUGUAAACCUCUUUCACCAAGGACGAAGCGCAAGUGACGGUACCUGGAGAAGAAGCACCGGCCAACUACGUGCCAGCAGCCGCGGUAAUACGUAGGGUGCGAGCGUUGUCCGGAAUUACUGGGCGUAAAGAGCUCGUAGGUGGUUUGUCGCGUUGUUCGUGAAAACUCACAACUCAAUUGUGGGCGUGCGGGCGAUACGGGCAGACUAGAGUACUGCAGGGGAGACUGGAAUUCCUGGUGUAGCGGUGGAAUGCGCAGAUAUCGAGGAGGAACACCGGUGGCGAAGGCGGUCUCUGGGCAGUAACUGACGCUGAGGAGCGAAAGCGUGGGGAGCGAACAGGAUUAGAUACCCUGGUAGUCCACGCCGUAAACGGUGGGUACUAGGUGUGGGUUCCUUCCUUGGGAUCCGUGCCGUAGCUAACGCAUUAAGUACCCCGCCUGGGGAGUACGGCCGCAAGGCUAAAACUCAAAUGAAUUGAC
This 548-nucleotide ribosomal RNA is filed under the name uncultured bacterium. RNAcentral describes it as "partial 16S ribosomal RNA". It matches the Rfam family "Bacterial small subunit ribosomal RNA", at positions 355 to 914 of the family's 1533-position model. The record is from RNAcentral.